This 109-nucleotide small RNA is filed under the name Microcebus murinus (gray mouse lemur). RNAcentral's name for it is "Y RNA (ENSMICG00000024260.3)". Lineage: Eukaryota; Metazoa; Chordata; Mammalia; Primates; Cheirogaleidae. The record is from RNAcentral.
GCUUUGUCUUAGUGUCCUGCUUCACCAUUCAGAGGUGCUUAACUAAUUAAGAACUCAAACAAGCCUUUGUUUCUUCUCCACUUCCACUGCUUCACUUGACCAGCCUUAA